This 18260-nucleotide long non-coding RNA is filed under the name Citrus x clementina. RNAcentral's name for it is "Citrus clementina (C. clementina) long non-coding RNA (CCLE_LNC000210)". The record is from RNAcentral. Lineage: Eukaryota; Viridiplantae; Streptophyta; Magnoliopsida; Sapindales; Rutaceae.
AUUUAAAAAAAUAUUAAAAUCAAUGACCUAUAUUUAUUGGUUGUUUGUUACAUUAUUUGUAACAUAAGUUUUGCUUUUAUUUUGAAUGCACCACCUUGACGGUCUUUCCAUACACCUUAGAAGUUUUUGUGUUUUUGAGAAAUUUUAUAUGGGCGCGUAGUGCACUCGAAUAAUGAGAAUUUAUCAUUUGGCAGGUUUGGCGGGUUUAAGGUUAAACACACUUAUUUAAAUUAAAAAAUAAUGGAUCUAACUUCGACUGUCUUUGAGACCCAACUAAUGUGGAUGACCUAUGCAAGUCUUUCUUCUUAUUUUUAAUCUUUCUCCUUAUUUUUAAGUACAAAAUAAAGUGAUUUAUACCAAAUAAUAAGCCAAAAGCAUUUACUGCACAACUCAAUAUAUUUUAGGUUGUAUAAAUGACCAACAAUACUGCGCCAUUUAGAUGCAUAUACAAAGCUAUAUCUGGCUUAGAUAUUAUAAAUUAGGACAAUGCCUUAAAUUCAAACUUAAGUUAGGGCAACGCCUAAACACAAAAUACAACUAUAAACACUAUAAAGAUCUAAAAUUGAAAGGAGAAUCAAAGACUUUACGCAUUAAAGUCUUAUGAAAAACUGUAGGAAUUUUAUGAGACUAGCCUACCCAUCUCAGCUAUUGUAGGUGAAAACUACCUCCCAAUCAAAAGAAGAAUUUAGUGCAUUGUCCCAACAAUGACACACCCUACCACUAGUACCACAAAACUGUCACUAAUAACACAACACAAACAUGAAAAUGUAUCUCAAACAAUCACUGUUUUUCUACAAAAAUAGAGUAAAUCAUUGGCGGUUUAAUUAACAUUUAUUAAGGGCUCAGAUAUUGUUUUCCAAAGGCUAUUAAGAGAAAAAAAAAAUUUCAUUGGGGACUUUAAUCACCUGAGUCCGUUAAGGGCUUGAGAGUAAAACAAACAGCCUAGACAAUAUAAAAUAGAGUUGGACUAUUGGCACCCCUCCAAAAUUUUUCUGAAACCUAUUUUUCAAUAAUGCUAAGUUUAAUGCCAAAAAUACCCUUAUUUCUAAAUAAACACAUUUAAUUUGUGAAUCUUUUAAUUUUCUAUUCUUUUCUCAAUCCUCACAAACAAAUUUUUAUGGGUGAUAAACUUCUUGAUAAAAAUCAAUUAAUUAAAUAAAAUAUCUGUAAGAUUUUGAUGUAAAAUUUUUUAUUAUGAGCUUUAAAAAAAAGCAGAUAAUUUUGUCAGAAUGUGUUUUGUUUAUUAUCAAUAGAUUAUCUUAGUAAUUGAAGAAAAAAUUAUAGAGAAUUUGAGAAAAAAAUUACAUGUGUGAGUUUGAUAACAGAGAAAAUACAAGAGUUUUUUUUUUUUUAAGAGAGAAAAUACAAAAGUUUGAAGUGAGAUAAAAUAGAUGUGAGAUAUAUUAGAGUAUUUGUCCUUAAAUGUAAUUGUAACAGAAGAGGGGUUUUAAAAGAAUUUUGGAGGGGUGCCAAUAGUCCCACUCUAUAUAAUAACAAAAUGAAUGAUUAGAAGAGCCCAUGAAUAAUAAAGCCUGGUAAGCGUUUUGGAAAAUUUACUGAGACAUAUAUCCAUUUUCAUUGCCAACAGGUCAAUUAGAGAUGGCAAAAAUCCCCACGGGGACGGAUACUCUCGGGGAUUUUCCUCAUUCGGGGAGGAUAUGAGGAUAAUUUCAUACCCAAUUUCUUAUUUGGGGAAGGGACGGGAAUUUUUUUUUUACCCAAUUUCUUAUUCGGGGAGGGGACGGGGAUGAGGUGGAAUCCCCAUCCCCUACCCAUUUCCCCAUUUUAAUUUUUAAUUUUAUUUUUAUUUUUUAAAAUUACUAGAAAAUAAACAAUUAAAAUUUCAAUUACUAGAAGGAAUUAGGAUCGAAGGAUGGAUGUGCUUUCGUAGGAUUUCAAUAUUAAAACUCUAAUUAAACAAUUAAUGGAUCGGCUUUUCCAAAUUUUAAAAUAAUAAAUUACCAGCUUUGAUUAUGGAGUUCUUUAGGUCAUACAGUGAUCAAACAAAUUUGAACGCGGUUAGUCAGAUUUUAAUAACUAAUUGGUACGUGGCGUUGUUAAACCAGAUCGAUGCUACACAAAGUGAAGCCUUUGGACCCAGAUCUAACUUAGAACAGAUCAAUAGUCCGCACGUUCGGGUUUCCAGCCGAUAUACCAACUUAGUUUUAUUUUACCAAAUAAAGUUAAGUUACUUUAAACUUAGUUGAUUCUUUUUAUUGGGCUAUUAUCAGAUUUAAAUUAGGUUCUUUUAAAGGUUUGGGUACAUACACAGUACCAGAUCCGGAUCCCGGAAAUGGUGCUCUGAAGGAAUGGAGGAAGAAGAGAAGAUUUACAACUGAGGAUCGAGAUCCGGUCUCUUUGCCUCAGAGGAAUGUAGAAUUUAUAUGGCAGAUCUGAUACAGAUCAGUCUGCAAACAUGCUUUGAAAAGAAAAAUGCUUUAAAAUAAAUUGCUGGAAUUUAAAUGUGCAUAAAAUUAAAUUGCAGAAAAGUAAAUGCUUUAAAGUAAAUUGCAAAAAUUUAAAUUACAUUGAAAUUUAAAGAACUGAAUUUAAAUAUACAUUUUUGCUUUCUGGCUUUUACAAAUUUUCAAAUCUUUCCAGAAUGGAAGAUUGAAAGACAGGAAGAUUGAAGGUAAAGAACUAGUCUGAUCACCCAAAGCUCUGUGAUAGAACUAUUGUGUAAACAGAAAAUUUCUUUGGAACCCUUCGGAGAGAGAGAGAAGGGGGAGAAGUAGAGAGAGAAGCUCUGAAAAUGAGAAAUGAAAAACCUGAGGAGUCUGAGUCUUCCUCUCGGUUUAUAUACAAAAAUCUUUAAACUGUUCACUGUAGCGGGACUUUAAGUGCACAGUAACAUCUGGAACUCUGCACUGUUCACUGUAGCGGGUUUUUAAGUGCACAGUAACAAUUGGAUCGUAUCUUUGAAUAGUAGAUGCUUUGUACAUAUACAGAAAUACAGACUGACGUACAAUACGGGUGAAGAGACAUGUGCGCUCUCACUUGUUUCCAGGGGACCACCCGAAAAAAAAAAUACUUCUUUUUUUUUUAAGUAAAUAAUCAAAUAAUUAUUUACAAUGCUUUAUCGGAGAGAAAAUGCCGAAACAAUCAUCUUCAUUAUCGUCUCCGAGAGAAAUGAAAGGCUCUUCGUCAUCAUCAACAUCUUCAUCUUCAUCUUCAGAGGAAUCUGCAGCUGAGGACUUUGAUCGUGAGGCGAGGAGCUGUUCCAUGGCUUUGAAAUACUCAUCUUCAGUUUUGGCGCUUGCCAAAAGAGACUGGGCUUUGGAUUUUUGGGUUAGGAAGGUCUGUUGGGCUUUAGAGGCUUCCAGGGUUGGUUGUAGGAGGUUUUUAGAGGAGAGCCAAUAUUUGAUCAUGUUGACAGUCAAUUUGGACUGUUCAUCAAAUUUUGACCACCAUUUGACUUUAAAGGUUCUUUGAAGGAUGACUUGGGAUUCUUGGGUGUGGAAACGGAGGUUCCACGAACAGACCCAUGGUAGGAAGAAGUUUGCACAAAAGCAAAGAAAGGGGGGAAAUCUUUUUUCUGAGACAGAGGGUAAAUAAUGGGCUUUGAAGAGGUUUAGGCAAUUUGUAGCGUUUGGUGUUAGGAUUUGUGGAAUUGGGCCAAAAAGAUUCCACCAAUGCUAAAACCAAUUUGGAAGGCUUUGAACGGUUAUCUUUGUGUUGAAGAAAAAUAACCAAGAAUGGGAUUUUUUAGGGUUUUGGAUAAAAAAGGUGUUAUACCAUGCUUGUUGGUAAUCUCAGUAGGAAAAAGUCCGACAAUGUGGUAAACGGGUUUCAAAAUUUAGAGGGAAGGUUUUAAAAUUGUGGAGUAGGUCACCCCACUGAUUUGGGCUUAAUACUUUUAGGAUUGUGGCCGUGGAAUAAGCCGGUUCUGUAUGGGCUUUGUCAAGAAAGAAAUGUUUGAAUUUAACUGAUUCAGUUAUUUCCAAAAUGCUUUGAUAAUAAGACUGGGGUUUUGUCAAAUCCCAUGGUUUGAAAAACCAGCCUUUGGGAAAAAACUUUGAAAUGCUUUGAAAAUGAUCAGAAUGGUAAAAUCCAUCUUCUAGAAAAAGAAUGUUUUGAAAAUGGGUUUUAUCAAACCAAUCAGAGGUUUUCUUUGAAGGUGUUGGCUGAGAAAGCACAGUUUGGGAGGAUGAGCUUUCAGCAGAGACAACAACAUUUUGGGAAGAGGGUUUUGUAAUUUCAAUUUCUUUUUGGGGAGAAAUUUGGCUUUGAGAAAGGUUUUGGAGGGCAAGCAUGAGCUCAGGUGAUUUUGUAAUGGAACUCAUCCAUUGCUUUACUUGGUCAUCAGAAGAAAUAUAUUUGUAUUGGGCUCCAUGUUCUUCAACCAUUUCAAUCCAAGAUUUAAUGGGCAUGGCAGAAGAGAGUAGUUUUUCUUUAGAAGGGGUAGACUGGGGUUCUUUAGAAGGUUCUUGAGGACCAGAAACUUUGAGAACUGCUUUACCUUUGUCUUUCUUCUUUGGCGGCAUUAUCUGUUUUGAAGAAAUUCUCUGGUUAGAAAAUCAGGAACAGAAUUUUUGUCACCUUUAAUAAAUUCAAUAUCAAAAUCAAAAACACUUAAAAUAGCUUGCCAUCGUGCAAAAAUCUGUUUUGAUGCAAUGUUUUGAACAUCUUUUUCUAAAACAUGUUUUGCAGCUUUGCAAUCAAUUCUAAGUAAAAAUUUUUGAUUUAGUAAAUCACUUUGGAAUUUAGAUAUGCAUAAAACAAUAGAAAUAAUUUCUUUUUUGAUAGUAGAAUAAUUUCUCUGGCAAUCAUUCCAAUGCGCAGAAACAUAUUGUACUAUCUGUUCUUUAUCAUUUUCUUUUUGUUUCAAUAUACCUCCAUAACCUAUGUCAGAUGCAUCAGUUUCAACAAUUUUAGGUAAUGCAGGAUUUGCAAGAAAUAAACAUGGAAUAUUUUUUACAGAUUGCUUUAUUAAUCUAACAACUUUGGUAUGUUCUUCUGACCAUGCAACAUGAUUCUUUUUCAACCUAUCAUGCAAAGGUUUAGACAUCCUAUUGAUAUUAGGGCAAAAAUCGAGAACAUAAUUUAGACUACCAAGAAAUCUUUGUAAUUGGGUUUUGUCCAGAAUCUUGUCUGGGAAUUUAUCUGCAAACAAAAGAGAUCUUUCAAUUGGGGUGAUAGUUCCUUUGGAAAUAUGAUGACCUAGGAACCGGACUUUUGUUUGAAAUAAAGAAAUUUUUGAACUAGAAAGGGCUAACCCAGCUUUUUUAGUAACAAGGUAGAAAGUCUUUAAAUGUUUGAAAUGUUGGUCAAUACUUUGAGAAAAAAUCAAUACAUCAUCAAUGUAAACAAUGCAAAACUCAGAAUAGGGAUUAUAAAUAUCGUUCAUGAUUCUUUGAAAUUCUGAGGGUGUAUUUUUCAAACCAAAAGGCAUUACUGUCCAUUCGUAUUGUCCAAAGGGAACAGUAAAAUCUGUUUUAUAACGAUCUUUAGGAUGGAUUUGUAUUUGCCAAAAACCAGACUUCAUAUCAAAUUUAGAAAAAAUGAAAGCUGAACAGAGUUUUUGGAGCAAAUCUUUUUUAUUAGGUAUUGGGUACCUAAUCCAUUUUAAAGCUUUAUUCAAAGGUUUGUAAUUUAUCACAAGUCUAGGAACGCCUCUUUCAAUUUCAGAAUUUUUGUUGACAUAAAAAGCGGCACAAGACCAUGGAGAUCUGGAUUUUACAAUGAGUCNNNNNNNNNNNNNNNNNNNNNNNNNNNNNNNNNNNNNNNNNNNNNNNNNNNNNNNNNNNNNNNNNNNNNNNNNNNNNNNNNNNNNNNNNNNNNNNNNNNNNNNNNNNNNNNNNNNNNNNNNNNNNNNNNNNNNNNNNNNNNNNNNNNNNNNNNNNNNNNNNNNNNNNNNNNNNNNNNNNNNNNNNNNNNNNNNNNNNNNNNNNNNNNNNNNNNNNNNNNNNNNNNNNNNNNNNNNNNNNNNNNNNNNNNNNNNNNNNNNNNNNNNNNNNNNNNNNNNNNNNNNNNNNNNNNNNNNNNNNNNNNNNNNNNNNNNNNNNNNNNNNNNNNNNNNNNNNNNNNNNNNNNNNNNNNNNNNNNNNNNNNNNNNNNNNNNNNNNNNNNNNNNNNNNNNNNNNNNNNNNNNNNNNNNNNNNNNNNNNNNNNNNNNNNNNNNNNNNNNNNNNNNNNNNNNNNNNNNNNNNNNNNNNNNNNNNNNNNNNNNNNNNNNNNNNNNNNNNNNNNNNNNNNNNNNNNNNNNNNNNNNNNNNNNNNNNNNNNNNNNNNNNNNNNNNNNNNNNNNNNNNNNNNNNNNNNNNNNNNNNNNNNNNNNNNNNNNNNNNNNNNNNNNNNNNNNNNNNNNNNNNNNNNNNNNNNNNNCUUCUCUGAUGCAAUUUAAAUCGCGCCAGUAUCAAAAAGGGCAAUGGCGUCCAUUGCAAAAUCAUCAGAAAAGAUUAAAGUGACUUUAAUCAAAUACUUCUUGUGGUGAUUUGUUUCAAAACAAAUAGGAAAUCAUUGGGUACUGACUCAAUGUUUUCCACUUUUAUUUCAUCACCAUUAUCAGGAUUAGAUUCAUUAUCUGAAUUAUCCUGCAAAUGUUUUUGUAAAAGAAGUUGGAUAGUCUCAGAAUCACUUUUUUGUUUUUCUUUUAAAUCUCUGAUUUCACAUUUAAUUUCUUUUAUCUCUUUCUGAAGAUCCUGGAUAUUAGGAACCAUCUUUUUUGUUUUCUUUUUAUCCAAAAUUUGAGUAAGAUCAUACGAAUUCUUUUUGAUAAUUGGAACUUUAGAAAUCUCAGCAGAGGUUCCGGCUUUGUCGGAAUCCAUAGUUUUCAAAAGUUUAUCAAGAUAAUCCUUUUGAAGAUUUGGAUCAGAAAUAUGCUUUACAAGUUCAAGAAAAAUCUCUUGGUCUUUAGUCAAAACAUUGAUUUUCUUUAAAUAGGAAUCUGAAUCAGAAUCGCUGCUGCUAGAUGCAGAGGUGUCUGAUUCAAAUAACUCAUCUACUUGGAGGGGGUCACUAUCUCCCGUCAUGGAAGACUCAGAGUCUGAAGACUCUAUAAGGAGGGGGGCUAUUUUGGAAAGGAUAUCUUCAUUGAGGUCAAGCUCUUGGAGUCUUUUGUUCAUUCUGCAAAAUUUUGCAGUAUGACCUUUCAUGCCACAUUUAAAACAUGUAGCAUCUUUGAAAUUGAAUGGGGUUUUAGGUUUGGCUUUAAACUCUUUCUUUUUAGAAAAACUAUGUUUCUUAUAAGGCCUUGAAGGUUUCUUAUAAGGAAGUUUCCUAAAAUCAUGAAAGGGUUUCUUAUGGCUCUUAGACUUGUAAUGUUUCUUAUACGGUUUCGAAGAACACUUACCAUUACAAGUUUUGGAAGUAGAAGCUUUAAAGGGGUCAUAGUUGAAUUGCUUACAGAAACUGCCUAACUCUUGCUUAGAUCUCCUAAGCUCCUGCUUCAGACGUUUCUGUAAUUUCAAAUCUUGACAGAUCUUUAAACCUUCUUUAUUGACAAAACUGACUAGUUCACCAUAAGUGAGCUCGUCAUAAGGAAUAUGAUUGUCAUAAAGAGCUUUGAUGGAAUUCCUAACCUUUUCUCCCAAUAGGGUAGGUAAACCUGCAAGGAAUUUUUCCUUCCAAGUUACAUGAUUUGCAUCAUCCCUAAGGAAGAGUCUAGUAAAGAAAGUGGUUUUGUAUUCUUGGAAAUCACUGAGUUUUCUACACCUUAAGUUGUGUAGUAACUCGGCGUUUUUGUCCCUAAGGUGAGAAGGGUCACCUAUGAAAUGAAGGGAAAUGGUCAAUAUCAGGGUGACAACAGCAUCCUGAAUUGGGUUAUUGAAUUCGUCAAGAAUGGGAGCGCCAUUCUCAUCGGUUUGGAUGGCAUUUAAGAUGUCUAAUUGCUGCAAUUUAGUGAGAAGAUGAUCCCACCAUCCUUUAAGUUGACCAGUAAAACCUGCAAUUAGGAUUUCUGCAAUGGCCUUGUCAGAAGUUCCUGAUUGGGUUUUAUAGGCAUUGGCUGCCAUGGUCAUUUGUUGCAAUACACCUAGAAUGUUGUAUUCAGACAUUCCAUCUAUAUUCCACUCAUAGACAGAGGAUGCAUUAUAUCGAGCUUGAUUUAAUGCACUAGGCCUGUUGUCUAUAGUCAAAUCAGGUGGAGAUUUGGAAGUAGGGAUAGCAAGUUCCCAAUGGAUUUUAUUGGCUUUUGAAACAGGUUCUUCGGUAAAGGCUUCUAAGUCAGAAGAGGCAAUAGAAGUUUGGUCAUCUUUCUCUAAUACUCCAAUCUUGCUAGAUUGAGGAGUAUCAUGGGCUAUUUGAACUUUGCUAGAUGAGGAAGAAGUAGCUUCUAUCCUAUCUAAUUGUUCUCUGAUGGCUUUGGUAAAAUCCGAUUUUGAUUCAUUGGCAAGCUUUUGGCUAGUUUUCGAAACCUGAAAGGGUUUGAAAAUAGGUUCCUUAAGCUUUUUAUCAAAAUUUGACUUUGAAGGAAUAGGCUUUGGACUAGGAGAAACAGAUAUGGUUGAUUGUUGGAAUUGGUUUUCUAUCCUAGUCAACUGUUUUCCUAUAGUAUUUAAGUUAGUAUUACAGAAAUUAUUCUGUUGAAUAAUACUACUUAAAUUACUAUCAGUAUCAUUAGGCUUAGGGAUUUUGUAAGGUGAAGCCCUAAUUUCUAUAGGAGGUUCGCCGUGGUCAACGGUUACACUUCGGAGGGGUGGAUGCUCAGAAUCGACAGUUCUAUUACUUUCGGAGAGUUUCCAUUCAGUGGUCUUUUUCCUAAUAGUAAUAGGGUUUGACUCUUUGAAGGGGUAAGAGAUGUUAUUAGAAGAAUAUAUCUCGAACCAAUCAAAAAACAAUAUAUGAACUUGAUGAAGAUUCACAAAUUCAUAAUAGGUUUGUUGGAUUUCUUUCCUUUGAUUUAAAAAGUGUUUGAAAAACCAAAGUCUUUUUUCUUUGUUUAAAUCAGAAUAAAAAUCUUUAUGCAGAAAAGCUUUAUCUAAUUCAAAUUCCUUUUUAAUGACAUUAAUUACAUUUUCUGUAACGGCAGAAAAUGUAGGGGAAGUUGGAGGAGAAGGUUCCUUCUCUUCCUGUCUUUGUUCAUGUUGACUACUAGUGUAAAUAGGGUGAGGAACACUAGUGGCAUAGUCAACAGAUCGUAUAGAAGUGCUAGGUAUAUCUAAAGUUGAAAACCUGGGUUGACUUUGAAAAGGAAGAUUUAUAACGGAAGGGACUUUUGUAAAUUUCCUUUCUGAUGAAGGAAUGCUUGAGCACGAUGUUCUAUCAGAAAAUCUGGAUGAGGUGGAUCUUCUGAAUGACAAUUUGACUUUUCCAUCGGAAUACUGAGUCACAUUUUGCAACUCUGUAUUAGGCUCAAGUUGUUUUGGAAUCGCUGGUGGAGCGGCUCCUUCAAGAAUCCAUUCUUCUGGAAGAUGGACAUCUUUCCAUUGAAUAGGCUUUGGGAUGACUGUGUUGGCUCUAGACAAAUCAGUCUGCAAGAGAAGAGUCUCAUCUCUUUUUGACUGGAAUUUAUGUUGUGUACUGAAUGCAGUGAUCAUUGCCUUAUACGAGAUUUUAAAAAUUAAGGCAACUGGGAUGGAUCCCUCAAUCAUAUUAUAAUUAUGAGUUUUGAUUUGUAGGAUCAUGCUUUUCAAAAUAUUUUUAUCUUUAAGUGAAAUUGUUAUGUUUGGAUAACAAUCAAAUGAAAUUGGACCUUUACAAAGACUGGAUUCGAAUCUACUUAGCAAAGAAUCAUCAAAAGAGAUGGGCGAAAACUCAGUGAUUUCCAAGAAUACAAAACCACUUUCUUUACUAGACUCUUCCUUAGGGAUGAUGCAAAUCAUGUAACUUGGAAGGAAAAAUUCCUUGCAGGUUUACCUACCCUAUUGGGAGAAAAGGUUAGGAAUUCCAUCAAAGCUCUUUAUGACAAUCGUAUUCCUUAUGACGAGCUCACUUAUGGUGAACUAGUCAGUUUUGUCAAUAAAGAAGGUUUAAAGAUCUGUCAAGAUUUGAAAUUACAGAAACGUCUGAAGCAGGAGCUUAGGAGAUCUAAGCAAGAGUUAGGCAGUUUCUGUAAGCAAUUCAACUAUGACCCCUUUAAAGCUUCUACUUCCAAAACUUGUAAUGGUAAGUGUUCUUCGAAACCGUAUAAGAAACAUUACAAGUCUAAGAGCCAUAAGAAAUCCUUUCAUGAUUUUAGGAAACUUCCUUAUAAGAAACCUUCAAGGCCUUAUAAGAAACAUAGUUUUUCUAAAAAGAAAGAGUUUAAAGCCAAACCUAAAACCCCAUUCAAUUUCAAAGAUGCUACAUGUUUUUAAAUGUAGCAUGAAAGGUCAUACUGCAAAAAUUUUGCAGAAAUGAAACAAAAAGACUCCCAAGAGCUUGACCUCAAUGAAAGACAUCCUUUCCAAAAUAGCCCCCCCUCCUUUAUAGAGUCUUCAGACUCUGAGUCUUCCAUGACGGGAGAUAGUGACCCCCUCCAAGUAGAUGAGUUAUUUGAAUCAGACACCUCUGCAUCUAGCAGCAGCGAUUCUGAUUCAGAUUCCUAUUUAAAGAAAAUCAAUGUUUUGACUAAAGACCAAGAGAUUUUUCUUGAACUUGUAAAGCAUAUUUCUGAUCCAAAUCUUCAAAAGGAUUAUCUUGAUAAACUUUUGAAAACUAUGGAUUCCGACAAAGCCGGAACCUCUGCUGAGAUUUCUAAAGUUCCAAUUAUCAAAAAGAAUUCGUAUGAUCUUACUCAAAUUUUGGAUAAAAAGAAAACAAAAAAGAUGGUUCCUAAUAUCCAGGAUCUUCAGAAAGAGAUAAAAGAAAUUAAAUGUGAAAUCAGAGAUUUAAAAGAAAAACAAAAAAGUGAUUCUGAGACUAUCCAACUUCUUUUACAAAAACAUUUGCAGGAUAAUUCAGAUAAUGAAUCUAAUCCUGAUAAUGGUGAUGAAAUAAAAGUGGAAAACAUUGAGUCAGUACCCAAUGAUUUCCUAUUUGUUUUGAAACAAAUCACCAAAAGAAAGUAUUUGAUUAAAGUCACUUUAAUCUUUUCUGAUGAUUUUGCAAUGGACGCCAUUGCCCUUUUUGAUACUGGCGCCGAUUUAAAUUGCAUCAAAGAAGAGAUCGUCCCCAAAAGAUUUCAUGAAAAAACAAAAGAAAGACUUUCUGCCGCUAACAAUUCAAAAUUGAAUGUUAGUUCCAAAGUUGAAGCCUCGAUUUAUAAUAAUAAAAUUGAAUUUAAAACUUCUUUUGUUCUUACAAAUGAUAUACACCAUGCUAUCAUUUUAGGAACCCCUUUUAUAAAUCUUAUAACCCCAUAUGCUGUCAAUUAUGAUGGUAUAUAUUUCAAAGCAAAAUCCAGAGACCUUGUUUUCUCGUUUAUUGAAAAGCUAAAAACUAGGAAUAUAAACAUUGUCAAAGCUUGUUCUGUUUACCAAAACAAAAUCAAUGCCAUUCUUAAAUCCAAACAAGAUGAUUUAUUUUGUUUACAAAAGGAUUUAAAUUUCCAAAGAGUUGAAAGACAACUACAAAGUGAUUUUAUACAAAGAAAAAUCCUCGAUUUCAAAAGCCUUAUUGAAAAAGAAAUAUGUGCUGAUUUACCAUCUGCUUUUUGGAACAGGAAACAAAAUUUGGUAGAUUUGCCUUAUGAAAAUUCUUUUGAUGAAAAACAAAUACCCACUAAAGCACGUCCAAUCCAAAUGAACAUGGAUUUGGAACAACAUUGUAAAGAUGAGAUUAAUGAUCUUGAAAAUAAAGGACUCAUUGUAAAAUCCAGAUCUCCAUGGUCUUGUGCCGCUUUAUAUGUCAACAAAAAUUCUGAAAUUGAAAGAGGCGUUCCUAUACUUGUGAUAAAUUACAAACCUUUGAAUAAAGCUUUAAAAUGGAUUAGGUACCCAAUACUUAAUAAAAAAGAUUUGCUCCAAAAACUCUGUUCAGUUUUCAUUUUUUCUAAAUUUGAUAUGAAGUCUGGUUUUUGGCAAAUACAAAUCCAUCCUAAAGAUCGUUAUAAAACAGCUUUUACUGUUCCCUUUGGACAGUACGAAUGGACAGUAAUGCCUUUUGGUUUGAAAAAUGCACCCUCAGAAUUUCAAAGAAUCAUGAACGAUAUUUAUAAUCCCUAUUCUGAGUUUUGCAUUGUUUACAUUGAUGAUGUAUUGAUUUUUUCUCAAAGUAUUGACCAACAUUUCAAACAUUUAAAGACUUUCCACCUUGUUACUAAAAAAGCUGGGUUAGCCCUUUCUAGUUCAAAAAUUUCUUUAUUUCAAACAAAAGUCCGGUUCCUAGGUCAUCAUAUUUCCAAAGGAACUAUCACCCCAAUUGAAAGAUCUCUUUUGUUUGCAGAUAAAUUCCCAGACAAGAUUCUGGACAAAACCCAAUUACAAAGAUUUCUUGGUAGUCUAAAUUAUGUUCUCGAUUUUUGCCCUAAUAUCAAUAGGAUGUCUAAACCUUUGCAUGAUAGGUUGAAAAAGAAUCCUGUUGCAUGGUCAGAAGAACAUACCAAAGUUGUUAGAUUAAUAAAGCAAUCUGUAAAAAAUAUUCCAUGUUUAUUUCUUGCAAAUCCUGCAUUACCUAAAAUUGUUGAAACUGAUGCAUCUGACAUAGGUUAUGGAGGUAUAUUGAAACAAAAAGAAAAUGAUAAAGAACAGAUAGUACAAUAUGUUUCUGCGCAUUGGAAUGAUUGCCAGAGAAAUUAUUCUACUAUCAAAAAAGAAAUUAUUUCUAUUGUUUUAUGCAUAUCUAAAUUCCAAAGUGAUUUACUAAAUCAAAAAUUUUUACUUAGAAUUGAUUGCAAAGCUGCAAAACAUGUUUUAGAAAAAGAUGUUCAAAACAUUGCAUCAAAACAGAUUUUUGCACGAUGGCAGGCUAUUUUAAGUGUUUUUGAUUUUGAUAUUGAAUUUAUUAAAGGUGACAAAAAUUCUGUUCCUGAUUUUCUAACCAGAGAAUUUCUUCAAAAUAGAUAAUGCCGCCAAAGAAGAAAGACAAAGGUAAAGCAGUUCUCAAAGUUUCUGGUCCUCAAGAACCUUCUAAAAAACCCCAGUCUACCCCUUCUAAAGAAAAACUACUCUCUUCUGCCAUGCCCAUUAAAUCUUGGAUUGAAAUGGUUGAAGAACAUGGAGCCCAAUACAAAUCUAUUUCUUCUGAUGACCAAGUAAAGCAAUGGAUGAGUUCCAUUACAAAAUCACCUGAGCUCAUGCUCGCCCUCCAAAACAUUUCUCAAAGCCAAAUUUCUCCCAAAAAAGAAAUUGAAAUUACAAAACCCUCUUCCCAAAAUGUUGUUGUCUCUGCUGAAAGCUCAUCCUCCCAAACUGUGCUUUCUCAGCCAACACCUUCAAAGAAAACCUCCGAUUGGUUUCAUAAAAUCCAUUUUCAAAACAUUCUUUCUCUAGAAGAUGGAUUUUACCAUUCUGAUCCUUUUCAAAGCAUUUCAAAGUUUUUUCCCAAAGGCUGGUUUUUCAAACCAUGGGAUUUGACAAAACCCCAGUCUUAUUAUCAAAGCAUUUUGGAAAUAACUGAAUCAGUUAAAUUCAAACAUUUCUUUCUUGACAAAGCCCAUACAGAACCGGCUUAUUCCAUGGCCACAAUCCUAAAAGUAUUAAGCCCAAAUCAGUGGGGUGACCUACUCCACAAUUUUAAAACCUUCCCUCUAAAUUUUGAAACCCGUUUACCACAUUGUCGGACUUUUUCCUACUGGGAUUACCAACAAGCAUGGUAUAACACCUUUUUUAUCCAAAACCCUAAAAAAUCUCAUUCUUGGUUAUUUUUCUUCAACACAAAGAUAACCGUUCAAAGCCUUCCAAAUUGGUUUCAGCAUUGGUGGAAUCUUUUUGGCCCAAUUCCACAAAUCCUAACACCAAACGCUACAAAUUGCCUAAACCUCUUCAAAGCUCAUUAUUUACCCUCUGUCUCAGAAAAAAGAUUUCCCCCAUUUCUUUGCUUUUGUGCAAACUUCUUCCUACCAUGGGUCUGUUCGUGGAACCUCCGUUUCCACACCCAAGAAUCCCAAGUCAUCCUUCAAAGAACCUUUAAAGUCAAAUGGUGGUCAAAAUUUGAUGAACAGUCCAAAUUGACUGUCAACAUGAUCAAAGAUUGGCUCUCCUCUAAAAACCUCCUACAACCAACCCUGGAAGCCUCUAAAGCCCAACAGACCUUCCUAACCCAAAAAUCCAAAGCCCAGUCUCUUUUGGCAAGCGCCAAAACUAAAGAUGAGUAUUUCAAAGCCAUGGAACAGCUCCUCGCCUCACGAUCAAAGUCCUCAGCUGCAGAUUCCUCUGAAGAUGAAGAUGAAGAUGUUGAUGAUGACGAAGAGCCUUUCAUUUCUCUCGGAGACGAUAAUGAAGAUGACUGUUUCGGUAUUUUCUCUCCGAUAAAGCAUUGUAAAUAAUUAUUUGAUUAUUUCGGGUGGUCCCCUGGAAACAAGUGAGAGCGUACAUAUCUCUUCACCCGUAUUGUACGUCAGUCUGUAUUUCUGUAUAUGUACAAAGCAUCUACUAUUCAAAGAUACGAUCCAAUUGUUACUGUGCACUUAAAAACCCGCUACAGUGAACAGUGCAGAGUUCCAGAUGUUACUGUGCACUUAAAGUCCCGCUACAGUGAACAGUUUAAAGAUUUUUGUAUAUAAACCGAGAGGAAGACUCAGACUCCUCAGGUUUUUCAUUUCUCAUUUUCAGAGCUUCUCUCUCUACUUCUCCCCCUUCUCUCUCUCUCCGAAGGGUUCCAAAGAAAUUUUCUGUUUACACAAUAGUUCUAUCACAGAGCUUUGGGUGAUCAGACUAGUUCUUUACCUUCAAUCUUCCCGUCUUUCAAUCUUCCCUUCUGGAAAGAUUUGAAAAUUUGUAAAAUCCAGAAAGCAAAAAUGUAUGUUUAAAUUCAGUUCUUUAAAUUUCAAUGUAAUUUAAAUUUUUGCAAUUUACUUUAAAGCAUUUACUUUUCUGCAAUUUAAUUUUAUGCACAUUUAAAUUCCAGCAAUUUAUUUUAAAGCAUUUUUCUUUUCAAAGCAUGUUUGCAGACUGAUCUGUAUCAGAUCUGCCAUAUAAAUUCUACAUUCCUCUGAGGCAAAGAGACCGGAUCUCGAUCCUCAGUCGUAAAUCUUCUCUUCUUCCUCCAUUCCUUUAGAGCACCAUUUCCGGGAUCCGGAUCUGGUACUGUGUAUGUACCCAAACCUUUAAAAGAACCUAAUUUAAAUCUGAUAAUAGCCCAAUAAAAAGAAUCAACCACGUUUAAAGUAACUUAACUUUAUUUGGUAAAAUAAAACUAAGUUGGUAUAUCGGCUGGAAACCCGAACGUGCGGACUAUUGAUCUGUUCUAAGUCAGAUCUGGGUCCAAAGGCUUCACUUUGUGUAGCAUCGAUCUGGUUUAACAACGCCACGUACCAAUUAGUUAUUAAAAUCUGACUAACCGCGUUCAAAUUUGUUUGAUCACUGUAUGAUCUAAAGAACUCCAUAAUCAAAGCUGGUAAUUUAUUAUUUUAAAAUUUGGAAAAGCCGAUCCAUUAAUUGUUUAAUUAGAGUUUUAAUAUUGAAAUCCUACGAAAGCACAUCCAUCCUUCGAUCCUAAUUCCUUCUGGUAUCAAUAUCAAAAUAUUUAUAUUAUUAAACUUUUAGGCCUAAUUAACUAAUUAAAGUCCUAAAUUUUUAUUUAGGACAUUAAAAAAACGGGUAAAUUCUAUUAGCCCAAAAAUUUUGUUUUAAUUUUAAUAUUCAUUAAAUGUUUUAAACUUAAAUAUAUUUAUUUAUUUAUUUUUAGAUGUUAUAAUUGCCCACAGCGAAUCGUAAUUUUAAUAUCUAAUCUAAUCUAAUCUAAUAUUUGCUCUUGAUUUGCUCCGACUUAACUAUUGUGGUGUAAAGGGAAUAAUCCACAUUUAUAAAGUGCCCACACCACCAUUGAAAAAGUUAAUUUUCAAUCUAAAUUCGAUUUUAUUUGUAACAAUUUUGUAUUAGACUAUUAAUUUAUUCACGAUAGUUUGUAAAAGAAGUUUGUAAAAGAAGUUUGUAUCCCUUGCAUGCUGCGUUACUUACUAAUUUAAUGUAUGUGACUUUUGUAAUGGAUAUUAAUGUAAGAUAUAUUUAAAACUUUACUUUUAUUUGAAUUUUUUAUUUUAAUAUGAUUAACUCAAAAUCAAAAACAAAAACAAAAAAAUGUAUUAGUUAUUCGGGGAUUGAGGACCCUCGGGGAUCCCCUGUUAUUAUUCGGGGAGGGGAUGAAGAUUCUCUCAAGUAAUUCUGACGGGGACGGGGACAUGCGCAAAAUAUCGGGGAUGGGUACGAGGAGAUUGGUCCCCUCCCCUCCCCUCUCCAUUGCCCUCCCCUUUCUGUAGAACUUAGUUUUCACGCUUAUCUUCCAGAAGCUCCUUACUUCGUAUAAUCACAAAGAGAUGGAAAUAAAAUUAACUACAGAGCCACAAUUAAUUAUCAUUGCGCUUCAUAUUAACACAAGUAUUCGAGGACAAUAACUCGUCAAACAGAUGCAACAGAACUAGAUACCUGGGCAUGUGUACCAAACUACCAACUUCAUGAAAAUGAUUGAACAACUCUAAAGAUCAGAUACACUUUUCUCAGAAUCAAUACUUGCAUCAGACAUCAGUGACCGAGUCAUCUUCAAGAAGAAAGGCCCUGGCAUAAGGGCCCUGCCUAUUUUGGCUUUCUUUAAAAUAUAUAUAUAUAUAUAUAUAUAUAACUUAUUUUACUAAGCAUUAUUUCUUAAAAUUGUUGAUCAAUAAGAAAUCUACAUUUCAAUACUAACAAAAGACAUCAAAUCCUUUAUGUAGUGAAAAUAGGUUUUCAUCCUUAGCAGCUGAAGCUUUUAGAAAAGGAGAGGGCUGUAGAAAGAAACAACUUUUUUCUUUGGAUAUAAUCUCCACCGUAGCAACUAUAAAAAUUAUGAAAAAAAAAUUACCAAAAAGGAGAAUCGAUACAAAAGGAAGCUGGAAGUCCCCUCCUUUUCUCCAAACAAAUACAAUCAUUUCAGUUUACAACUAAGAACCAUUCUAUUAAUUUUCAACCAAUGAAAUAACCAUAUUAAAAAAUAAUUAUACUAUAAAUCCAAUAUUGAUACGGAAUUUACAAUUUAUGCUACACUUAAAUGGUCAUAUCCUUAAAAGAAAUUUGUUCAUCCUGCAUGGUAUAAGUUGUCUACAUCAUCUAUUAAUAUUAUGCCUCAUCAGUCCAUUUGGAUUAUUAAUCUUGAUAUGGUAAAACUAACCACUAGAUUAUAACUUUGUAACCUGUUUAAACAAACUCAUAAAUCAGAAACUGAAACUGAAAAGACAAAAGGAUAUAAAGCAACAAAAACUUGAAGGAUUUCUGCAGGGUAACAAUUAGAACACAAUAAGCAAUUAGCAUAACCCAUAAGAGCACUGUGUAAUCACUCACCAACACUCCGAGCUUGUCCUAAACUAUGUAAUCAGUCGUUUCAUUUUAUGAGGUAGAGAAUUCCUAAAAACUUGAUGAAGAGACAACAGAAGUCAGCCCACAUUGCACCAAAAGCAAAUACACUUCAAUUAGGAAAGAAAGCCAUCAAACCUAAAAGUAAGCAGCAAAAACGUUCAUGCCAAAAUUAUGAUUAUGAAAAGCUAAUUCCAAUUCUUCUUACUUGAUCCUCCAGUUCUUGCUGAUAGGCAACUUUUUUUUUUUUUCAAUUCUAUUUCUCAGUCCAAGAUGCUCAGCCUGCAUUAAAUACAAAUCUACACAGAAUUAUAAAAAUAUCAGGUAAUAAAUAACUCAAAAGAUUAUAUUCACAGAAGCAGCAGCAAGGCUUCCUUGAAACAGAACUCCAACAGAAACUGCAAAACAAGGAUAGCGUAUGGAUUGUAUUCAUUUUCAUACCUCAUAUUUAAUAAUAGAACAUAUGCAAGCUUGUUGUUUCUGUCAGGCAUUUCAACAAAUAACUUGAAGACUCUACUUCGAAAAAUUUCAUCAAACAUCAGCGUAAUGUACCAAUGUACAGGAUCCAAGCACAGAUUUAACACAUCGGCAAAUCACUCAAAAAUACAUAAUUAAAAAUAAAACCACAGACAAUGAAAUGACAUAAAUCAUCCGAUCCCAAUUUCACAAAACGAAACUACUAUUAUAGCGCACAAGUAUCAGCAAAUAAGAUCGAAGAAGCUAGAGAAACUAUAAGAUACGAACCAAAUGUAAAAGCAUCGUUACCUACUGUUAUGGCCGCACGUCGGCUAUCAGCUCAGGCGGUCAGAUUUUUCACUGGUGACGAAGCUAAUCAUUUGACUGAUAUUUAGGCUUUGAGCAAUAAUAUAGCCAUAAUUGGAUUGUAGGAUUAAAUAUUUCUUAAUCCACAUUAUUUAUUUUUUUAUUUUAUAUAUUUAUUUAACUAAUAAAUUAAUAUUAAAUUAAUUAAUAUAAAAU